Molecule: long non-coding RNA, 331 nt
Filed under: Elaeis guineensis (African oil palm)
Lineage: Eukaryota; Viridiplantae; Streptophyta; Magnoliopsida; Arecales; Arecaceae
Description: long non-coding RNA (EGUI_LNC022653)
Source: RNAcentral
CUCCGACCAUCCACCCCCUGCAGGAAUCUCACCCAUUGGAAGAACUAUCAAAGAUCCAAAGGAACUCAAAAAGAAAAUGACAAGGAAUGUUUUUGCACGAAAUCAGCUCUUUGGCAAAGCUCUCCCACUAGAAGAGACAAAAUAAAGGAUGGAUACCUAGUUAACAGCAGUCCUUUAUAUAGAGGAAUACCCAACGACCUGAAUGAAAGCAACCAGAUCGAGACCACACCGGAUGAUGACACGUGGUAGCAACUGGACCUGUCAUCGAUCCGACGAUUCGAUGCACCUAUACCAGAUUAAACCACGUCACCUCCAUCCACAUGCCGACCCA